This 559-nucleotide ribosomal RNA is filed under the name Xylariaceae sp. I12F-02261. RNAcentral's name for it is "eukaryotic LSU rRNA". The stretch from base 184 to 337 matches the Rfam family "5.8S ribosomal RNA". Lineage: Eukaryota; Fungi; Ascomycota; Sordariomycetes; Xylariales; Xylariaceae. The record is from RNAcentral.
GCGGGCUAGGGUGUAUACUCCCAACCCAUGUGAACAUACCUCAUGUUGCCUCGGCAGGUCGCGCCUGCUACCCCGCAGCGCCCUACCCUGUAGGGCGUACCCGGGAAGGCGCGGGCAACCCUGCCGGCGGCCCACGAAACUCUGUUUAGUAUUGAAUUCUGAACCUAUAACUAAAUAAGUUAAAACUUUCAACAACGGAUCUCUUGGUUCUGGCAUCGAUGAAGAACGCAGCGAAAUGCGAUAAGUAAUGUGAAUUGCAGAAUUCAGUGAAUCAUCGAAUCUUUGAACGCACAUUGCGCCCAUUAGUAUUCUAGUGGGCAUGCCUGUUCGAGCGUCAUUUCAACCCUUAAGCCCCUGUUGCUUAGCGUUGGGAGCCUACAGCACCGUAGCUCCCCAAAGUCAGUGGCGGGGUCGGUUCACACUCUAGACGUAGUAAUCUUUCACCUCGCCUGUAGUUGGACCGGUCCCCUGCCGUAAAACACCCCGAUUUCUAAAAGGUUGACCUCGGAUCAGGUAGGAAUACCCGCUGAACUUAAGCAUAUCAAUAAGCGGAGGAAAA